UAUUCCACGACAGCGGACCCCACCGCCUCGUUCCGCCUCCCGAUCGGUCUCCUGUUCGUGGACGACAGCGCCGCCACUGCCGCACCAAACCCCGCGUGAUUCACGCGACCCCUUGCUCCUUUUCCAAUCUGAGGCCGCCGUGUGGUUCCUCUCGAAUCCCUCGAUCAGUCCUCGCAGGCGCCACUUUGUUUUCCCCUAGGAAUCGAGAGUAAGGACCUCGCCAAGCUCUGCCGACUCCGGCGAUACGAACGAUUUCGGGCACUCCAGACCGCACCACAUCGAGCUCUUCAACAAAUCCCGAUCUCGCCGGAGUAUUGCCCUUGCCGGAGCUUCCCGGAACGAUUCCGUUGCCUCUGAACACGGGAUACCGAGCUCCCGACCAUGCCCAAAAUCGCCAGCACCACCGAGCGACGGCGCGCCAGCAGAGGACGCUCCCAUCUCCGUUGAAGCUACCAUCGUCUCCGUCAUCGCAAGCCGCAUCCGCCCUUCACCUCACCUUCACUGGAGAGCUACCGGAGGAGCGCCGCCACCCACGCCCGAAGCCGUCACCGUUUUCCCCCUGCUUCGGUGACCACGCGCGCACAGCUACAUCUCAGCCAAUCUGGAUGUGACACAUGGCGCUAUGCUAUAGUAACCACAGUUCAAAAUCAUGUUUUAGACAGAUUUUCACCAAUUUUUCGUUUAGCUAUAUCUCUUGGUCUGUAUAUCCAAAUUCAUUGAUUCUUUUUCCUGUGUACUCGUAGCGACCAGGAGAAUACAGUAGAACCAAAAUUUCACA
This is a long non-coding RNA of Aegilops tauschii subsp. strangulata, 778 nucleotides long. RefSeq lists it as uncharacterized. NCBI's taxonomy places the organism in Eukaryota, Viridiplantae, Streptophyta, Magnoliopsida, Poales, Poaceae. The record is from RefSeq and is a predicted model, not a curated record.